AACGAACGCUGGCGGCGCGCCUAACACAUGCAAGUCGAACGAGAAUCCGGGGCAACCCGGUAGUAAAGUGGCAAACGGGUGAGGAAUACAUGGGUAACCUACCCUUGAGAAGGGAAUAACCCGCCGAAAGGUGAGCUAAUACCCUAUACGCUAUCUUUUUUUCGAAAAGGAUAGGAAAGCCGGGUCGGAGGACCUGGUACUCAAGGAGGGGCUCAUGUCCUAUCAGCUUGUUGGUGGGGUAACGGCCUACCAAGGCUACGACGGGUAGCGUGGUCUGAGAGGAUGAUCAGCCACACUGGCACUGAGAUACGGGCCAGACUCCUACGGGAGGCAGCAGUGAGGAAUAUUGCGCAAUGGGCGAAAGCCUGACGCAGCGACGCCGCGUGGGGGAUGAAGGUUUUCGGACUGUAAACCCUUUCAUGAGGAAGAU
Molecule: ribosomal RNA, 430 nt
Filed under: uncultured bacterium
Lineage: Bacteria
Description: bacterial SSU rRNA
Rfam family: Bacterial small subunit ribosomal RNA
Source: RNAcentral